RNAcentral lists this non-coding RNA (60 nucleotides) under Clostridium cadaveris. RNAcentral describes it as "Fluoride sequence". It matches the Rfam family "Fluoride riboswitch aptamer (crcB RNA motif)". The record is from Rfam by way of RNAcentral. Lineage: Bacteria; Bacillati; Bacillota; Clostridia; Eubacteriales; Clostridiaceae.
AAAUAUAAAGGUGAAGGAGUUCACCUAUAAAUGCUAUAAGCUGAUGACUCCUAUAAGAUA